UUUAGCAGCCAUAUCACCCUGCAACUAGCAAUCCACUGCUGCUAAGCAGGAGUGAGCCUGGUCAGUACAUGGGUGGGAGACCUCAUGGGAAAAUAAAAGGUUGCUGCUCAAA
RNAcentral lists this ribosomal RNA (112 nucleotides) under Lepisosteus oculatus (spotted gar). Lineage: Eukaryota; Metazoa; Chordata; Actinopteri; Semionotiformes; Lepisosteidae. The record is from RNAcentral.